GGAUAAAAAAGAAAAAUCUAAUUAGCUUAUUAUUUAAUCCGUUUGAACCUUUUUCAAUUUUUAAUAUUUUCAACGCCUACAAAUUAAGCUUUUACAAUGAUUUUUCGAAAUUUAUGCUUUCAAAUGCAUUUCAAAUGAUCGUUUUUAAUCUUGUGACUUGGAAAACAUAUUUACUUUUUCUCGAGUUUUAAAAAUGGCAGCAGUCUACAUUAUUUUUAAUUUUAAUAAGUUUUCCGGGCCAUAUUAGAUGGUGCGGAAAUGUUGAAAUUGAACGCUUUUUGUAACGAUUGACAAUUGUCAACAAGUUUGUCACGGUCACGGACGAUUGGAGCUCGAAUUAUUUGUUUCUUAUCCGCUUGUUAAUAGAUUUCAAUCCUCAUGAUCUGGAAUCUUUAUUCAGAUCCCGCCACGACAGCAGCGAAGAAUAAUGGCGAAAACCGGGUCGCGCGGCAGUGGGACACUUAAUUUUGUACCUUCGGAGUUGUUCGGAGGUUUUGCCGUUGCCGGAGAUAAACUUAUCAGCGAUCAUGUUGGCGGCUAAUUCAUCCUUCAACGCGCCUCGAUCAGUAACCGCAAUCCACCACUGUGCUGUAAUUGUAUUCGAUGGUGAAAUCGAAGUGCAAGUGACCUAUAUGCGCCUAUAUAUUUGCGCUUUUUAAUAAAAAGUACAUAAAUGGUCUCUGAAACAA
This is a long non-coding RNA of Armigeres subalbatus, 689 nucleotides long. RefSeq lists it as uncharacterized. The transcript has 2 exons. The record is from RefSeq and is a predicted model, not a curated record. NCBI's taxonomy places the organism in Eukaryota, Metazoa, Arthropoda, Insecta, Diptera, Culicidae.